This 338-nucleotide unclassified non-coding RNA is filed under the name soil metagenome. RNAcentral's name for it is "partial contains 5.8S ribosomal RNA, internal transcribed spacer 2, and large subunit ribosomal RNA". The stretch from base 1 to 119 matches the Rfam family "5.8S ribosomal RNA", at positions 35 to 154 of the family's 154-position model. The record is from RNAcentral.
GAUGAAGAACGUAGCGAAAUGCGAUACGUAGUGUGAAUUGCAGAAUUCAGUGAAUCAUCGAAUCUUGAACGCACAUUGCACCUCUCGGUAUUCCGGGAGGUAUGCCUGUUCGAGCGUCAUUUGUACCCUCAAGCUCUGCUUGGUGUUGGGUGUUUGUUCCGCCUCUGUGUGUGAACUCGCCUCAAAACAAUUGGCAGCCGGCGUACUUGUUUCGGAGCGCAGCACAUUUUGCGAUCCAGAUCAACGUACAGCGGCAUCCAAGAAGCCUUAUUUAACGCUCUUGACCUCGGAUCAGGUAGGGAUACCCGCUGAACUUAAGCAUAUCAAUAAGCGGAGGA